Molecule: ribosomal RNA, 501 nt
Filed under: uncultured bacterium
Lineage: Bacteria
Description: partial 16S ribosomal RNA
Rfam family: Bacterial small subunit ribosomal RNA
Source: RNAcentral
AUUGAACGCAGGCGGCAUGCCUUACACAUGCAAGUCGAACGGCAGCACGGGUGCUUGCACCUGGUGGCGAGUGGCGAACGGGUGAGUAAUACAUCGGAACGUACCUUAUCGUGGGGGAUAACGCAGCGAAAGCUGUGCUAAUACCGCAUACGCCCUGAGGGGGAAAGCGGGGGAUCGAAAGACCUCGCGCGAUUAGAGCGGCCGAUGCCUGAUUAGCUUGUUGGUGGGGUAAAAGCCCACCAAGGCGACGAUCAGUAGCUGGUCUGAGAGGACGAUCAGCCACACUGGGACUGAGACACGGCCCAGACUGCUACGGGAGGCAGCAGUGGGGAAUUUUGGACAAUGGGGGCAACCCUGAUCCAGCAAUGCCGCGUGAGUGAAGAAGGCCUUCGGGUUGUAAAGCUCUUUUGUCAGGGAAGAAACACCGGCUCUAACACAGUCCGGGAAUGACGGUACCUGAAGAAUAAGCACCGGCUAACUACGUGCCAGCCGCCGCUGUAA